AUUGAACGCUGGCGGCAGGCCUAACACAUGCAAGUCGAACGAGUGGCGGACGGGUGAGUAAUGUCUGGGAAACUGCCCGCUGGAGGGGGAUAACUACUGGAAACGGUAGCUAAUACCGCAUACCCUCGGAUUUUCCCAGAGUGGAUUAGCUAGUCGGUGGGGUAACGGCUCACCUAGGCGACGAUCCCUAGCUGGUCUGAGAGGAUGACCAGCCACACUGGAACUGAGACACGGUCCAGACACCUACGGGAGGCAGCAGUGGGGAAUAUUGCACAAGGGGCGCAAGCCUGAUGCAGCCAGGCCGAGUGUAUGAAGAAGGCCGUCGGGUUGUAAAGUACGUUCAGCGAGGAGGCGGUACUCGCAGAAGAAGCACCGGCUAACUCCGUGCCAGCAGCCGCGGUAAUUC
This 406-nucleotide ribosomal RNA is filed under the name uncultured bacterium. Its description in RNAcentral is "partial 16S ribosomal RNA". It matches the Rfam family "Bacterial small subunit ribosomal RNA", at positions 30 to 526 of the family's 1533-position model. The record is from RNAcentral.